Molecule: ribosomal RNA, 936 nt
Filed under: uncultured bacterium
Lineage: Bacteria
Description: bacterial SSU rRNA
Rfam family: Bacterial small subunit ribosomal RNA
Source: RNAcentral
UGCUUACACAUGCAAGUCGAACGAGAAACGGUCUAGCUUGCUAGAUGCAGUCUAAGUGGCGCACGGGUGAGUAAUAUAUAGGUAAUAUGCCUCUUACUAAGGGAUAACAGAUGGAAACGUCUGCUAAUACCUUAUAUGCCUUUAGGACUAAAGUCCGCAAGGGAAAGAUUCAUCGGUAAGAGAUUAGCCUGUACAGUAUCAGUUAGUUGGUGAGGUAAUGGCUCACCAAGACUAUGACACUUAACUGGUUUGAGAGGAUGAUCAGUCACACUGGAACUGAGACACGGUCCAGACUCCUACGGGAGGCAGCAGUGGGGAAUAUUGCACAAUGGACGAAAGUCUGAUGCAGCAACGCCGCGUGGAGGAUGACACAUUUCGGUGCGUAAACUCCUUUUAUAUGAGAAGAUAAUGACGGUAUCAUAUGAAUAAGCACCGGCUAACUCCGUGCCAGCAGCCGCGGUAAUACGGAGGGUGCAAGCGUUACUCGGAAUCACUGGGCGUAAAGAGCGUGUAGGCGGGUUGAUAAGUUUGAAGUGAAAUCCUAUAGCUUAACUAUAGAACUGCUUUGAAAACUGUUAACCUAGAAUAUGGGAGAGGUAGAUGGAAUUUCUGGUGUAGGGGUAAAAUCCGUAGAGAUCAGAAGGAAUACCGAUUGCGAAGGCGAUCUACUGGAACAUUAUUGACGCUGAGACGCGAAAGCGUGGGUAGCAAACAGGAUUAGAUACCUGGUAGUCCACGCCCUAAACGAUGUACACUAGUUGUUGUGAGGCUCGACCUUGCAGUAAUGCAGUUAACACAUUAAGUGUACCGCCUGGGGAGUACGGGCGCAAGAUUAAAACUCAAAGGAAUAGACGGGGACCCGCACAAGCGGUGGAGCAUGUGGUUUAAUUCGACGAUACACGAAGAACCUUACCUGACUUGACAUAGUAAGAACUU